This 372-nucleotide ribosomal RNA is filed under the name uncultured bacterium. RNAcentral's name for it is "bacterial SSU rRNA". It matches the Rfam family "Bacterial small subunit ribosomal RNA", at positions 524 to 898 of the family's 1533-position model. The record is from RNAcentral.
UACGGAGGAUGCGAGCGUUAUCCGGAUUCAUUGGGUUUAAAGGGUGCGUAGGCGGACUUAUAAGUCAGUGGUGAAAUCCUGCAGCUUAACUGUAGCACUGCCAUUGAUACUGUUAGUCUUGAGUUUGGUUAAGGUAGGCGGAAUGUGUAAUGUAGCGGUGAAAUGCUUAGAUAUUACCCAGAACACCAAUUGCGAAGGCAGCUUACUGGACCGAUACUGACGCUGAUGCACGAAAGCGUGGGGAGCGAACAGGAUUAGAUACCCUGGUAGUCCACGCAGUAAACGAUGAUCACUCGCUGUUGGCGAUACACAGUCAGCGGCUAAGCAAAAGCAUUAAGUGAUCCACCUGGGGAGUACGGCCGCAAGGUUGAA